UUUGGUGGUCAUAGCACGAGCAAAACACCCGGCUCCAUCCCGAACCCGGCCGUUAAGUGCCGUAGCGCCGAUGGUACUGCGUCCUAAGACGUGGGAGAGUAGGUCACCGCCAAAC
Molecule: ribosomal RNA, 115 nt
Filed under: Maritimibacter harenae
Lineage: Bacteria; Pseudomonadati; Pseudomonadota; Alphaproteobacteria; Rhodobacterales; Roseobacteraceae
Source: RNAcentral